Molecule: long non-coding RNA, 261 nt
Filed under: Panax ginseng (ginseng)
Lineage: Eukaryota; Viridiplantae; Streptophyta; Magnoliopsida; Apiales; Araliaceae
Description: long non-coding RNA (PGIN_LNC015107)
Source: RNAcentral
GGAUCGGGAGCCUCUAUGGUUCUUUGGGAAGGACUAACGUUCUCCCGAAAGGAUAACAUUCUUCGAGAAGGACUUGGCGUUCUCUCGAAAUGACAAAGUUCUUCGGGAAGGACUAGCGUUCUCCCGAGAUGACACCGUUCUUUGGUAAGGAUUUAGCGUUCUUCGAGAAGGACUUAGCGUUCUCUCGAAAUGACAACGUUCUUCGGGAAGGAUUUAGCGUUCUCCCAAAAAGAUAAAGUUCUUUUGGGAAGGACUAACGUC